UACAGAGGGUGCAAGCGUUAAUCGGAAUUACUGGGCGUAAAGGGUGCGUAGGUGGAUAUAUAAGUCAGAUGUGAAAUCCCUGGGCUUAACUUAGGAACUGCAUUUGAUACUGUGUAUCUAGAGUAUGGUAGAGGUGAGUGGAAUUUCCGGUGUAGCGGUGAAAUGCGUAGAUAUCGGAAGGAACACCAGUGGCGAAGGCGACUUACUGGACUGAUACUGACACUGAGGCACGAAAGCGUGGGGAGCGAACAGG
This 253-nucleotide ribosomal RNA is filed under the name uncultured bacterium. Its description in RNAcentral is "partial 16S ribosomal RNA". It matches the Rfam family "Bacterial small subunit ribosomal RNA", at positions 524 to 776 of the family's 1533-position model. The record is from RNAcentral.